This 154-nucleotide non-coding RNA is filed under the name Pan paniscus (pygmy chimpanzee). Lineage: Eukaryota; Metazoa; Chordata; Mammalia; Primates; Hominidae. The record is from Rfam by way of RNAcentral. RNAcentral also lists the same sequence under 1 other name.
GCUGAGUGUGGUAUUGCGUGCUUGCAAUCCCAGCUACUUGGGAGGCUGAGGUGGGAGGAUCCCUUGAGCCCAGGAGGUUGAGGCUGCAGUGAGCUGUGAUCAUGCCACUGCCACUGCACUCCAGCCUGAGCAACAGAGAGAGACCCUGUCUCAA